UACGGGGGGGGCAAGCGUUGUUCGGAAUUACUGGGCGUAAAGGGCUCGUAGGCGGCCAACUAAGUCGGAUGUGAAAUCCCCAGGCUUAACUUGGGAACUGCAUCCGAUACUGGAUGGCUUGAAUCCGGGAGAGGGAUGCGGAAUUCCAGGUGUAGCGGUGAAAUGCGUAGAGAUCAGCAGGAACACCCGUGGCGAAGGCGGCCCCCUGGGCCGUACCUGACGCUGAGGCGCGAAGGCUAGGGGAGCGAACGGG
RNAcentral lists this ribosomal RNA (253 nucleotides) under uncultured bacterium. Its description in RNAcentral is "partial 16S ribosomal RNA". It matches the Rfam family "Bacterial small subunit ribosomal RNA", at positions 524 to 776 of the family's 1533-position model. The record is from RNAcentral.